Molecule: ribosomal RNA, 460 nt
Filed under: uncultured bacterium
Lineage: Bacteria
Description: partial 16S ribosomal RNA
Rfam family: Bacterial small subunit ribosomal RNA
Source: RNAcentral
CCUACGGGAGGCUGCAGUGAGGAAUAUUGGUCAAUGGUCGGAAGACUGAACCAGCCAAGCCGCGUGAGGGAGGAAGGUCCAGAGUAUCGUAAACCCCUUUUGUCAGGGAGCAAAGGCAGGGACGUGUCCCCGGAUGAGUGUACCUUACGAACAAGCAUCGGCUAACUCCGUGCCAGCAGCCGCGGUAAUGCGGAGGAUGCGAGCGGUGUCCGGAUUUAAUGGGUGUAAAGGGUGCGUAGGCGGUCUGUUAAGUCAGCGGUCAAAGCCCCGGGCCCAACCCCGGCCCGGCCGUUGAUACUGGCAGUCUCGAGUGGGAGAGAGGUAUGCGGAAUUCGCGGUGUAGCGGUGAAAUGCAUAGAUAUCGCGCAGAACUCCGAUUGCGAAGGCAGCAUGCCGGCUCAAAACUGACGCUGAGGCACGAAAGCGUGGGUAUCGAACAGGAUUAGAUACCCCGGUAGUC